Oncorhynchus kisutch (coho salmon) is the source of this 1726-nucleotide long non-coding RNA. RefSeq lists it as uncharacterized. The record is from RefSeq and is a predicted model, not a curated record. NCBI's taxonomy places the organism in Eukaryota, Metazoa, Chordata, Actinopteri, Salmoniformes, Salmonidae. The transcript is spliced from 7 exons.
ACCGUUUAAACUCCUAGGUGUCUUCAUGGAAUAAUCCGAAUGUCCACUCUCGGUGUGGAAUGUUAUCGUGGUGCAAGUCCCGGCGCCAGAGCUCCCAGACAUCCGGGGCUUGUUUGGAGAUGCUUUGAUUGACAUGUACACAGAGAUUCAUACUGAGGUCACUAUGUGGCAGCAGAUUUGGCAGACGGUGCGCCAUAAACUGGUAACAGGCUGAAGACACCUCACUCCCCCCUGGCUGACCCCCCUGCCAUCAAGGAGCUGCUGAAAGCUGAGAUCCAACUGCUGCUGGCGACCGUGAGGGAGAGAGCAGCCUUGGAGGGCAGGGAUGGAGAUGCAUACAUAUUCCGGUACAGUUCUAGUGUGGUGAAUUACGCCUUGGGAGACACAAGCUGAAUGUCACCCACAUAGAUGAUGUUGUGGCCCACCUCAAAUCAGUUCUGACUGAAGAAUGUGAGGUGCUGAAAAGCCAAGUGCACUUUCUGCAGGAGAGUGUAGAACAGGAACACCGGACACAGUGUGAUGUCACUGAGGCUCCAGAGCCAACUGUAACAGAGCUGAAGGAGGAGAGGAGAGCCAUCCAGUUGGAUCUGAAGAAGCAGAGCCUCAGCCUCACCUACUGUCCCUCCUCCCCUGUGGAAACAAGCCUGCAGAGCAGAUCCGGGUCGAUUGGAUGGACAGGUUUGUCUGCGGAUGACACACAGAGACACUUGACCCCUAUGGUGGCCCCCAGAGUGCAUCCUCCACAUACCAGGCCCAGUCCACCACUAGUAUCCAGCCCUCUCCAACCCUCUGAACAUAAACAUCCAAGGACUCACAGCCAGAGCUCUGAGGCUUCCCACCCCUGCAACAGAGAACCCAUCACCACCGCUCAAGCCAGGGACAGCUACCUACCGCCCCUGGUCCCCUCUGCUAGCAUAGUAACCACCCAUGGAUCCUACCUCAACCCUGCCUCAGAACAGAGAAUAAAGGGCAGAACUUGCAGGCCUAGUGGUUAGCCUGUGACUGUGAGAGCUCAAAGACAUGAUGACUCAUGGUCAGACUCAGUGAACAGCUGGCCCUUGUUGUUCCCUGGUGGACACAGUCCUCUAGGCUCCUCCACACAGCCUCCGGGGAGCAAAGGGAGCUGUGAGCAGAUGAGCCCUGUAAGCAUGUUCCACCCUGCUCCCCCCGCAGUGCAGAGGCCAGCCAGCAGAGGGCCGAGUGGGGCCAGGCACCUGUGUCUGCCGCAGCAGGGGGACAGUCUGGUUAGCUCCUCGUAAACUGAACUCUUUACAACAGAAUAAGAGGAUAGUGAGUCUCUGAUACUGUCAUAUAUGUUCUACCUGCAGUCUGGUCCUAAAAGGAGACAAGUCUCUCAUCAGAGGUCAAUAAAAAGGGAUGUCGUAAUCUCUUUAAUAUAAAGUAAUACAGUAACCCUAGUCUUCCACAAUGAGUCAAGAGACAUAGGGAUGUUAUAUUGUCCUUUUCUAGAGACCUAGAAGACCUGAAAGUGAACACAUGACACAGAUAUGGUUGGAUGCUUUCGAAAUGUGUCAAAUUUGAUCUACCUAAUUCAACCAUUUAUUGAAUGUAUUUUGAAGUAAAUAAAUGCAACUGUAUUUGGAUAAAUAAAUGUUCAUAUGCCUGUAAUACAUGGUUUAUUAACAAUCUACUUUCUCCCAUCUAACAAAAGCCAUAGCCUGUUCAGAAAGACAAAACACAAAUGGGACAUGAACCACACUUGAGU